GCAAGGAAUCUUGCGCAAUGGGCGAAAGCCUGACGCAGCGACGCCGCGUGGGGGAAGAAGACCUUCGGGUUGUAAACCCCUUUUGUGAGGGACGAAUAAUGACGGUACCUCAUGAAUAAGUCUCGGCUAACUACGUGCCAGCAGCCGCGGUAAUACGUAGGAGGCAAGCGUUAUCCGGAUUUAUUGGGCGUAAAGAGCGCGUAGGCGGCUUAACAAGUCGGAUGUGAAAUCUCCCGGCUUAACUGGGAGGGGUCAUCCGAUACUGUUGAGCUAGAGGGCAGCAGAAGGAGAUGGAAUUCCCGGUGUAGUGGUGAAAUGCGUAGAUAUCGGGAGGAACACCAGUGGCGAAAGCGGUCUCCUAGGCUGUUACUGACGCUGAGGCGCGAAAGCGUGGGGAGCGAACAGGAUUAGAAACCCCAGUAGUCC
This 426-nucleotide ribosomal RNA is filed under the name uncultured bacterium. Its description in RNAcentral is "bacterial SSU rRNA". It matches the Rfam family "Bacterial small subunit ribosomal RNA", at positions 354 to 796 of the family's 1533-position model. The record is from RNAcentral.